UGAGUAACGCGUAAGUAAUCUAUCCCUGUAUCUGGAAUAACUAUGGGAAACUGUAGCUAAUACCAAAUACGUUCUCCUAUUUACGAAUUGGAGAAGAAAGAUGGCCUCUUCAUGAAAGCUAUCGUGCAGGGAGGAGCUUGCGUACCAUUAGCUAGUUGGUAGGGUAAUGGCCUACCAAGGCGACGAUGGUUAGCGGGUCUGAGAGGAUGAUCCGCCACACUGGAACUGAAACACGGACCAGACUCC
RNAcentral lists this ribosomal RNA (246 nucleotides) under uncultured bacterium. Its description in RNAcentral is "partial 16S ribosomal RNA". It matches the Rfam family "Bacterial small subunit ribosomal RNA", at positions 107 to 339 of the family's 1533-position model. The record is from RNAcentral.